This is a long non-coding RNA of Hydra vulgaris (swiftwater hydra), 763 nucleotides long. RefSeq lists it as uncharacterized. Lineage: Eukaryota; Metazoa; Cnidaria; Hydrozoa; Anthoathecata; Hydridae. The record is from RefSeq and is a predicted model, not a curated record.
UGAAGCUGUUUAAUGAAAGAAAAAAAAAGAUCUAUUUUUCAAGCUACUCUCAUGUUGUCUAAAAAUUGCGCUGGCUGUAAUGCCAGUUAUAUCGGAGACAGAUAUUUGAAAACAGGGAUUGAUAAACACAUUAAAACUGAUAAGUAUUUAUAUUUAAAUGCAUUAGUUAAGUGUAAAAAUCAAUCUAAUCAUGUUUCAAUUCAGGUUUGGAUACCAAUCAAACAUUUGGAUACCAAUCAAACAAAAGGUAAAGGAAGCGCUCCACGUAUGAAAAUCCCUCACUCAAUAAACAAACUUCUCAAAAUUAUAUUUGUAAAGUUAAAUCGUGAGAAGCCUUUUACAAGCAUGGAGCUGCCAUCAUCUUUGAAUAGAGGAAUAACUUAAGCAGUUUUAAAAUGAUCUGGAAAAACUUAUUAACCCAUUGAUGAUUUAAAUUUUGUAAAGCGUUUUCAAGGCUUUUCAAACUCAUCAAAUAAUAACUUAGCAAAUAACUCAUGUGAGUCAAUGCAAUUCAUUCACAUGUACUAACCACAUGUACUCACAUAUCCAUCGUACUAAGAAAUCUUUAAAUGAGAAACGGAUCUUCAGAUUUUUGCUUUAGAAGAAUAGAAUAUUUUGCUUACUUGAAUGAUGAUGACACUUUUAAAUUGUUUAAAAGAAAAUGUUGAGCGCGAUAAUAACGACUUUUAACUGCUUUAGCUUGGUUUUUUUUUACUUUUUACGGCCAUAAAAAAAUUUGUAUGUAUAAAAAUCUUUUGAAAAU